RNAcentral lists this ribosomal RNA (329 nucleotides) under uncultured eukaryote. RNAcentral describes it as "partial 18S ribosomal RNA". It matches the Rfam family "Eukaryotic small subunit ribosomal RNA", at positions 1470 to 1796 of the family's 1831-position model. The record is from RNAcentral.
CCCUUAGAUGUUCUGGGCCGCACGCGCGCUACACUGACGAAUGCAACGAGCUUAUAACCUUGGCCGAAAGGUCUGGGUAAUCUCCAAAUUUCGUCGUGAUGGGGAUAGAUUAUUGCAAUUAUUAAUCUUCAACGAGGAAUGCCUAGUAAGCGCAAGUCAUCAGCUUGCGUUGAUUACGUCCCUGCCCUUUGUACACACCGCCCGUCGCUCCUACCGAUUGAAUGGUCCGGUGAAUUCUUCGGACUGCGGCUUUGACUCGAUUUCGGUCGAGGCGUUGCUGCGGGAAGUUGAUUAAACCUUACCAUUUAGAGGAAGGUGAAGUCGUAACA